UACGGGGGGGACAAGCGUUGUUCGGAUUCACUGGGCGUAAAGGGCGCGUAGGCGGCCUUCAAGUCGGGUGUGAAAACCGGCAGCUUAACUGCCGGCCUGCAUUCGAUACUGUCGGUCUUGAGUACAGGAGGGGAAAGUGGAAUUCCAGGUGUAGCGGUGGAAUGCGUAGAUAUCUGGAAGAACACCAGUAGCGAAGGCGACUUUCUGGCCUGAUACUGACGCUAAAGCGCGAAGGCUAGGGGAGCAAACAGGAUUAGAUACCCGCGUA
RNAcentral lists this ribosomal RNA (268 nucleotides) under uncultured prokaryote. RNAcentral describes it as "partial 16S ribosomal RNA". It matches the Rfam family "Bacterial small subunit ribosomal RNA", at positions 524 to 792 of the family's 1533-position model. The record is from RNAcentral.